CACGUCACCGCCAUCAGGUCUCCGAGGAAGUCAGCUUCUGGCCUCAAAGCUGUUCUGAAGCUCCUGGGAGGAAAAGGGAGGUGAGGUGGCAAGAGCCCUUGCGCGGGAUCAACGGACGGGGCCCCUAACUCGGUGUCUGUCACGCUUGAGGCGGCCAUGGGCACACUCGGGCAGAGGAGUGCGUUCCAGCCAGAAGCACACGGCCGCCGCCGCGGGGACCGGGGCUGCAGCUCAGUUUACCGGUCCCACCUGUCACCCGUCCGCUGCUCACUGGAAUGAGAGCCGCGAAGUGGCCGAUCCAGGGGAGUCCGACAGCUGCGCAAGACACCCUGGAUGCGAUGCGCAGCUCUGCCUUGUGUGGCUUCAAGCAAGGAAGCGGAUCUCUGCGGAGCCUGAGUCUCCCCUCUAAGUGAAGCUAAUGAGAGCGCGCCCCUCACUAGCAUAGGGACGCGAGGAAAGAACGUGACCACACGCUCACUGCCGAGCCUGCGCCAGGGACCGCUCGGCGCUCCUGCGGGCACGCGCAGCCGGGGGCUCAGCGGGGCGGGCACGCGCGGUCCCGGGCUCAGCGGGGACAGG
RNAcentral lists this long non-coding RNA (579 nucleotides) under Equus caballus (horse). Its description in RNAcentral is "lncRNA (ENSECAG00000054751.1)". Lineage: Eukaryota; Metazoa; Chordata; Mammalia; Perissodactyla; Equidae. The record is from RNAcentral.